GCUUGCUUUCUUUGCUGGCGACCGGCGCACGGGUGAGUAACACGUAUCCAACCUACCCUUUACUCGGGGAUAGCCUUUCGAAAGAAAGAUUAAUACCCGAUAGCAUAAUGAUUCCGCAUGGUUUCAUUAUUAAAGGAUUCCGGUAAAGGAUGGGGAUGCGUUCCAUUAGGGUUGUUGGUGGGGUAACGGCCCACCAAGCCUUCGAUGGAUAGGGGUUCUGAGAGGAAGGUCCCCCACAUUGGAACUGAGACACGGUCCAAACUCCUACGGGAGGCAGCAUG
RNAcentral lists this ribosomal RNA (281 nucleotides) under uncultured bacterium. Its description in RNAcentral is "partial 16S ribosomal RNA". It matches the Rfam family "Bacterial small subunit ribosomal RNA", at positions 78 to 353 of the family's 1533-position model. The record is from RNAcentral.